Cercocebus atys (sooty mangabey) is the source of this 107-nucleotide small nuclear RNA. The record is from Ensembl. Lineage: Eukaryota; Metazoa; Chordata; Mammalia; Primates; Cercopithecidae.
GUGCUCACUUCGGCAGCAUAUAUACUAAAAUUAAAGCAAGACAGAGAAGAUGAGCAUGGCCCCUGCUCAAGGAUGACACACAAAUUCAUGAAGUGUUUUAUAUUUUU